This 490-nucleotide ribosomal RNA is filed under the name uncultured bacterium. Its description in RNAcentral is "partial 16S ribosomal RNA". It matches the Rfam family "Bacterial small subunit ribosomal RNA", at positions 30 to 507 of the family's 1533-position model. The record is from RNAcentral.
AUUGAACGCUGGCGGCAGGCCUAAUACAUGCAAGUCGAACGGUAACAGGAAGAAGCUUGCUUCUUUGCUGACGAGUGGCGGACGGGUGAGUAAUGUCUGGGAAACUGCCUGAUGGAGGGGGAUAACUACUGGAAACGGUAGCUAAUACCGCAUAACGUCGCAAGACCAAAGAGGGGGACCUUCGGGCCUCUUGCCAUCGGAUGUGCCCAGAUGGGAUUAGCUAGUAGGUGGGGUAACGGCUCACCUAGGCGACGAUCCCUAGCUGGUCUGAGAGGAUGACCAGCCACACUGGAACUGAGACACGGUCCAGACUCCUACGGGAGGCAGCAGUGGGGAAUAUUGCACAAUGGGCGCAAGCCUGAUGCAGCCAUGCCGCGUGUAUGAAGAAGGCCUUCGGGUUGUAAAGUACUUUCAGCGGGGAGGAAGGGAGUAAAGUUAAUACCUUUGCUCAUUGACGUUACCCGCAGAAGAAGCACCGGCUAACCCCGUG